RNAcentral lists this long non-coding RNA (334 nucleotides) under Brassica napus (rape). RNAcentral's name for it is "long non-coding RNA (BNAP_LNC007881)". The record is from RNAcentral. Lineage: Eukaryota; Viridiplantae; Streptophyta; Magnoliopsida; Brassicales; Brassicaceae.
CGGGUCGUAGCCAAAGCAUACACAUACUUGACAAACUCAUUCCAUUCCUCUCACGCUCAUCUGCUCCUUGCUCCCUUGUACUCAUGCUCCCUUCACCCAUAUAGGCAGAGUAAGAACACUCUCCCACAACUCUCUUCUUACCCUUUCCUAUGUUGAUAUAUGCUUUGGAUAGCAUUCUGCAUCUCCUCCUCUUCCGGAAGCCCUCACUCCUACUCCCGGUUAGACUCCAUGAGCCCUCACUCCUACUCAUGGUUAGCUUCUGGAAGCUCUCACUCCUACUCCCAGUCGGCUUCCAUGAGCUCUCACUCCUACUCAUGGUUAGCCUCUCAUCAUC